AUUGAACGCUGGCGGCAGGCCUAACACAUGCAAGUCGAGCGGAGCGGCGGACGGGUGUGUAAUGUAUGGUGCUCUCCCCGAUAGUGGGGGAUACCUUCUGGACACGGUGGCUAAUACCGCAUACUAUCGUAUGCACCCAUAUGGGAUUAGCUAGUAGGUGGGGUAAAGGCUCACCUAGGCGACGAUCUCUAGCUGGUCUGAGAGGAUGAUGAGGGACACUGGGACGGAGACACGGACAAGACUCCGACGGGAGGCAGAAGGGGGGAAUAUUGCACAAGGGGGGAAAGCCUGAUGCAGCCAUGCCGCGUGUGUGAAGAAGGUGGUCGGAGUGUAAAGAACUGGAAGUUGGGAGGCGUUACCAACAGAAUAAGCAACGGCGAACUACGUGCCAGCAGCCGCGGUAAUAC
RNAcentral lists this ribosomal RNA (407 nucleotides) under uncultured bacterium. Its description in RNAcentral is "partial 16S ribosomal RNA". It matches the Rfam family "Bacterial small subunit ribosomal RNA", at positions 29 to 526 of the family's 1533-position model. The record is from RNAcentral.